GACGAACGCUGGCGGCGUGCUUAACACAUGCAAGUCGAACGGUGAAGCGCCUUCCUUUUUGGUGGGUGUGGAUGAGUGGCGAACGGGUGAGUAACACGUUAGUAACCUGCCCCCUUCUUCUGGAUAACCGCAUGAAAGUGUGGCUAAUACGGGAUAUUCUGGGUCUGUCGCAUGAUGGGUCUGGGAAAGAUAUUGUUUCGGUGGGGGAUGGGCUCGCGGCCUAUCAGCUUGUUGGUGGGGUGAUGGCCUACCAAGGCGGUGACGGGUAGCCGGCCUGAGAGGGUGGACGGUCACACUGGGACUGAGACACGGCCCAGACUCCUACGGGAGGCAGCAGUGGGGAAUAUUGCACAAGGGGCGCAAGCCUGAUGCAGCGACGCCGCGUGAGGGAUGGAGGCCUGCGGGUUGUGAACCUCUUUCGCCAGUGAAGCAGGCCUGCCUCGUUUGUGGGUGGGUUGACGGUAGCUGGAUAAGAAGCGCCGGCUAACUACGUG
This 494-nucleotide ribosomal RNA is filed under the name uncultured bacterium. Its description in RNAcentral is "partial 16S ribosomal RNA". It matches the Rfam family "Bacterial small subunit ribosomal RNA", at positions 28 to 507 of the family's 1533-position model. The record is from RNAcentral.